Molecule: ribosomal RNA, 639 nt
Filed under: Chapsa thallotrema
Lineage: Eukaryota; Fungi; Ascomycota; Lecanoromycetes; Ostropales; Graphidaceae
Description: LSU rRNA
Rfam family: Eukaryotic large subunit ribosomal RNA
Source: RNAcentral
CAAACCCCCGAUUACUGGCUCUUUUGGGUCGAUUGUAAUUUGUAGAAGGUGCUUCGGAUUUGAUAAUGGUUCAAGUUCCUUGGAAAUGGACAUCAGAGAGGGUGAUAAUCCCGUUUCGACCAAUUAUCUGUCCAUGUGAAGCCCUUUCGACGAGUCGAGUUGUUUGGGAAUGCAGCUCAAAAUGGGUGGUAAAUUUCAUGUAAAGCUAAAUAUCAGCCAGAGACCGAUAGCGCACAAGUAGAGUGAUCGAAAGAUGAAAAGCACUUUGAAAAGAGAGUCAAAAAGCACGUGAAAUUGUUGAAAGGGAAGCGCUUGCAACCAGACUUGCUCGUGGUGUUCAGCCUCCUGAAAAGGUGGUGCACUCUCUGCGGGCGGGCCAACAUCGGUUUUAGCGGUCGGACAAAAGCUCGAGGAAAGUAGCUCUCUUCGGAGAGUGUUAUAGCCUCUUGCAUAAUGCGGCCAGUUGAGACCGAGGAUAUAUGCGCUUAUGCUAGGAUGUUGGCGUAAUGGUUGUUAGCGACCCGUCUUGAAACACGGACCAAGGAGUCGAGAAAUCAUGCGAGCGUUAGGGUGUUAAACCCUUCCGCGUAAUGAGAGUGAACGUAGGUGGGAGCCUUUUUGGCGCACCAUCGACCGAUC